Passer domesticus (house sparrow) is the source of this 477-nucleotide long non-coding RNA. RefSeq lists it as uncharacterized. The record is from RefSeq and is a predicted model, not a curated record. The transcript is spliced from 3 exons. Lineage: Eukaryota; Metazoa; Chordata; Aves; Passeriformes; Passeridae.
UGUGGAUGGCUGAGGAAGCCUCCUCAGCAGCUGUGAAAUGGUCCCUCCCAGCAGGAUCUUCAACAACAAGCAUUGUUCUGGAUUUUUGCAUAAGAGAAGAUAUUUCUCAUACAAACUGGAACACUACAGGCAUUGAACAAACUCAGGAGAAAGAGUCCUUGUCUUGGACUGUGAAUUGGGCAUAAUACAAGUCUGGUGGUGGACAAAGGUACAUAACAUUUUUCUCUGUGAUCUUCUGGGAGUGCUCACAAAGGCCUAUAUAGAAAAAGAGAUGAUGAAUGGAAAGGACCCUGCUCGAGUUUCCUUCUGGGAUAACCAGCGUGAAAAAGGCAGGACUGAGUCACUGAAGUGAAAUCCAACAUUCCACUGAGGUGUCAAGCAAUGAUUUGUCUCUAGGCACACACUGCAAUUGCAAGCAUGCUGCCUUAUAUUACAUUAAGCUCUAUGUUUUCAUUUAUCUGUUUCUUAGGCUGAUUA